GUAGGUGAACCUGCGGAAGGAUCAUUACUGAGGAUUCCUGGCGCGAGCUGGGGAUACCCGACCUAUUGUCAUGUGCACGUCGGGGAGGAACGGUGGCGUGCUUUUAGGUGUGUGGUUGUGACGGAUCGUACCCGAGAGGGUGGGAUCUGGAACGGCCCGCGCCGGCGCUGGCGCCCUGACGAACCUUAACUUCGGCGGAAGAGGUAGGCUGGACCUGCCCGCCGCCGGCCGUAGCCCAUUUUUACUCUAUGCAAGGAGAAUCUGAAGCCUGAUGUGAGCAACACGAAAAAUGAAAAGCAAAACUUUCAACAACGGAUCUCUUGGCUCUG
Molecule: unclassified non-coding RNA, 329 nt
Filed under: rhizosphere metagenome
Description: partial ribosomal RNA internal transcribed spacer region
Source: RNAcentral